This is a long non-coding RNA of Fukomys damarensis (Damara mole-rat), 1999 nucleotides long. The record is from Ensembl. NCBI's taxonomy places the organism in Eukaryota, Metazoa, Chordata, Mammalia, Rodentia, Bathyergidae.
AUGAGGUCGGCUUCCCCAAGUAUGGAGCUUAUGUUCCCACUGAGCUCUUGGGCUCUGAGUUCUUCAUGGGGCGACUGCUGGAACUCCGGCCUGAGCCCCGCAUCUGCUACCUGCAAGGUGAGUGUAGGCCCAGAGACUGGGACAGGAAGUGCCCUGGUCAGGUUCUGAUGUGGGGGCUCUGUCUGUCUGUUCAGGUAUGUGGGGCAGCGCCUUCGCAGCCAGCCUGGAUGAGAUCUUCCUGAAGAUUGUUGGCUCAGGCCUGGGCUUCUUGGACUGGCACAGAGGUAGCAUGAACAUCACAGACAAGUGCCCACAGUCCCAGCCCCACGACCCCUCCUGGCUGCACACCAGGCUCUUCAUCCCUCAGGGGCCCAUCUCACAGGCCGUGCUGGACAUAUUCACCUCCCGCCUUGCUGCCACCCAGAACUUUAACUUCAUGCGGGGUCUCUGCCUGCACAAGGACUAUGCAGCCCGCAGGGACUUUGUGGCCUGGAAAGGUGGGGACUGCCCCGGCUGUAGGUGUCCUCCUCCUACCUCUGGUGACCGGGCCAGCACUGCUGUGGGCAUGCCUGUGGGGAUGCUGCCUGGGUGGUGACGGGGAGAUUCUGUCCCUGUGCUGCGGGUGGGGGGCUGCAGAUAGAAUGUGGGGAGAGGGGACGCUGGGAGGCCGCCACAUGGUCCUUGUGCCUUGCAGACACACACCCAGACGCCCUCCCCAACCAGCUCACACCCAUGUGGGACUGCCUGUGCCUGGUGGACGGAGGCUUUGCCAUCAACUCUCCCUUCCCACUGACCCUGCUGCCCCAGCGGGCGGUGGACCUCAUUCUGUCCUUCGACUACUCCCUGGAAGCCCCUUUUGAGGUCUUGCAGAUGACAGAGCAGUACUGCCUGGACCGAGGAAUCCCCUUCCCCAAGAUCAAGGUGGGCCCUGAGGACAUGGCCAAGCCCCGUGAGUGCUAUCUGUUUGCCGAGGCCAAGGACCCCCAGGCCCCCAUCGUGCUGCACUUCCCACUUGUCAACCGCACCUUCCGCACACACCUGGCCCCAGGUGAGAGAAGCCAGGCUGGGAGUGCUGGGGUGCUCUCCGGGCAUGGACCCCUGCACAGUAUGUCAGCGCGUGCCUUCUGGGGGGCCAGAGCCGAAUGCCACUUACUGUCCCCUACUUCCUGACCCUGAUUGUACAUGUGGGUCAUCUCCUCCAGAUGGGCCUGAGGGCUGAGAUGUGGGAGGGGCCUAGGGCUGCAGCCCCUGGGAAGUUCCAGAGCACCCCAACCUGCCCCCCACCAGGUGUGGAGCGGCGAACAGCUACAGAGAAGGACUUCGGGGACUUUGUCAUCAACGGGCCAGACACACCUUAUGGCAUGACGAACUUCACCUACACGCCCAAAGAGUUUGACCGGCUGGUGGCCCUGAACCACUACACCAUUCUGAACAAUGCAGAGACCAUCAGGCACGCACUCCAGUUGGCUCUGCAGCGGCGGCAGACUGUCAAGGGCUGAGGCCUGAGCAGUUGGGAGCUGGGACUACAGGACAGAGGGGAGAUGCAAGGCUCAAAGCCAAUGCCUGCUGAGCAGGAAGUGGUGGGAUCUUCUGCUGCCCACUCUCCAGCACCUGCCCUGAAGUCUUCCAGGCCCAGAAAGUCUUAUAGACCUAGACCUGCAGCUUUGCUUUGGGUCAGGGCCGCCUUUGUGUUUCUUGGAGAAGAUGGAAUAGUGCAUCCCUCUGGGGCUCUAGGGAUGCAGGGCCAAAGAGGGCAGUGUCACCAUGAGGCCCACACAGACCCUAAGGCACUUGAUGCAGGUGCUGAGGUGCUGAGGUACAAGGUGCCUUCUCUUGGUGAGCACUGAAAUGCAGCUGUCAUGCUCUCUGUAGUGGCCUCAGAACUCUGCCCCCUGAGCUGGAUUUACUGCGUCAAGAAUAAAGAGAGCCAUGUGGCUUGCCAGCCUGUGUCAGUGAUUCCAUGUCCAGCUCCUGACUCUCCUUCACCUUCUGGUCCCCU